GGAUGCGAUCAUACCAGCACUAAAGCACCGGAUACCAUCAGAACUCCGAAGUUAAGCGUGCUUGGCCGAGAGUAGUACUAGGAUGGGUGACCUCCUGGGAAGUCCUCGUGUUGCAUUCC
RNAcentral lists this ribosomal RNA (119 nucleotides) under Triticum aestivum (bread wheat). Lineage: Eukaryota; Viridiplantae; Streptophyta; Magnoliopsida; Poales; Poaceae. The record is from RNAcentral.